This 501-nucleotide ribosomal RNA is filed under the name uncultured bacterium. Its description in RNAcentral is "partial 16S ribosomal RNA". It matches the Rfam family "Bacterial small subunit ribosomal RNA", at positions 30 to 523 of the family's 1533-position model. The record is from RNAcentral.
AUUGAACGCUGGCGGCAGGCUUAACACAUGCAAGUCGAGCGGGGUGAUGGUGCUUGCACUAUCACUUAGCGGCGGACGGGUGAGUAGUGCUUAGGAAUCUGCCUAUUAGUGGGGGACAACAUCUCGAAAGGGAUGCUAAUACCGCAUACGUCCUACGGGAGAAAGCAGGGGAUCUUCGGACCUUGCGCUAAUAGAUGAUACUAAUUCGGAUUAGCUAGUUGGUGGGGUAAAGGCCUACCAAGGCGACGAUCUGUAGCGGGUCGGAGAGGAUGAGCCGCCACACUGGGACUGAGACACGGCCCAGACUCCUACGGGAGGCAGCAGUGGGGAAUAUUGGACAAUGGGGGGAACCCUGAUCCAGCCAUGCCGCGUGUGUGAAGAAGGCCUUACGGUUGUAAAGCACUUUAAGCGAGGAGGAGGCUACUUUAGUUAAUACCUAGAGAUAGUGGACGUUACUCGCAGAAUAAGCACCGGCUAACUCUGUGCCAGCAGCCGCGGUAA